CAUGGGCUACUCACCAUGGAAGCCACAAAUAAAAGGAAACAAUAUAUGCAGAACAGACAACGCAAACGACCCAGGGGCGGAAGCAUCCAACCGACAGACGCAAACAAAGGAGAGGUGGCUGAAGUGAACACAACAACAACCGAGCGAACAUCCGGAGGUGGAUAUAGAGGCGAGGAAGAAAGAACGGCAGCAAAUAUCAUUAAGACAGCAUUCUUGC
RNAcentral lists this long non-coding RNA (217 nucleotides) under Selaginella moellendorffii. RNAcentral describes it as "long non-coding RNA (SMOE_LNC000403)". The record is from RNAcentral. Lineage: Eukaryota; Viridiplantae; Streptophyta; Lycopodiopsida; Selaginellales; Selaginellaceae.